RNAcentral lists this transfer RNA (62 nucleotides) under Phrynocephalus forsythii. RNAcentral describes it as "tRNA-Pro". Lineage: Eukaryota; Metazoa; Chordata; Lepidosauria; Squamata; Agamidae. The record is from RNAcentral.
CAGAAGGUAAUUCAAGUAUAUAUAUAUAUAUUGGGGGUCAUAUUCGCCUUGUCCCCUUUUGA